GUGCCAGCAGCCGCGGUAAUACGUAGGGGGCGAGCGUUAUUCGGAAUUACUGGGUGUAAAGGGUAUGUAGGCGGCCUCACAAGUCGCGUGUCAAAGUUCCAGCGCUUAACGCCUGGGUUUCGCCACGUGAUACUGUUCUGGCUUUGAGGACUGGAGAGGUGAGCCGGAAUUCCCCGGUGGUUAUUGGUUAAAAUAACGUUAAAUAUUCCGGGGGGAAACACCCCGGCGGGCCUUUAGGCGGCCCCCUAAAAAAGUGUUUUUGAGAGCCCAAAAAAACAAAACCCUUGGGGGGCCCCAACAGAUUUAAUUACCCCCGUUGUCCCCCCCCAAA
RNAcentral lists this ribosomal RNA (331 nucleotides) under uncultured bacterium. RNAcentral's name for it is "partial 16S ribosomal RNA". It matches the Rfam family "Bacterial small subunit ribosomal RNA", at positions 505 to 805 of the family's 1533-position model. The record is from RNAcentral.